AAGUCGUAACAAGGUUUCCGUAGGUGAACCUGCGGAAGGAUCAUUACUUUCAGUACUUUGGGGGCUGUCAGUCUAUAUCACUAUAGCAAGCCUCCUCUCUGAAACCCUUGUCUUUUGCGUACCUUAUGUUUCCUCGGCGGGCUUGCCCGCCGGUUGGACAACCUUAAAACCUUUUUAAUUUUCAAUCAGCGUCUGAACAAACAUAAUAAUUACAACUUUCAACAACGGAUCUCUUGGUUCUG
RNAcentral lists this unclassified non-coding RNA (242 nucleotides) under fungal sp. RNAcentral's name for it is "partial internal transcribed spacer region". The stretch from base 1 to 46 matches the Rfam family "Eukaryotic small subunit ribosomal RNA", at positions 1786 to 1831 of the family's 1831-position model. RNAcentral also lists the same sequence under 2 other names. The record is from RNAcentral. Lineage: Eukaryota; Fungi.